RNAcentral lists this long non-coding RNA (901 nucleotides) under Coturnix japonica (Japanese quail). RNAcentral describes it as "lncRNA (ENSCJPG00005009652.1)". Lineage: Eukaryota; Metazoa; Chordata; Aves; Galliformes; Phasianidae. The record is from RNAcentral.
GGAAGACUUUCACAGACUUCUCCAGAAUUUGCUUGCUAAUACAUUGUAAUUAAUAUAUUAGCCCUGUUUCUGUUGUUCUUUUUAUCACCUUUUUAAGGUUUUCUCCACCACAUGAGGCACUUUGUUCAGUUGCUGCAGAACCAAUGGAACAAUUUUACCUACAAAGCAAAUAAGCACUGGUGAGAAGCUGCAGUCAGUGUGAACAGAGACGGCCUUCAAGCCAUGCGGACAGUCCCUUGAAGACAGCCACUCGCAUCAGGCAUAAGCUGCCCAUGGCACACAAGAACUCACCCUUGCUUCUGCAAGAAGGAAGCACUCCACUGCAGAUGGCUCUCUAACAGUAAUGCACACAAAUCCUACAUUCACAAAGAAGCUCUUUUGUUUUUCUAGAGGGGAGGACUAACUUAAGGUGCUGAAUGGAGCUUGUGAAAUCAGCAAAACAAAUUACUUUAACAAUACUACUUACAUGAGUAAUGAAGAUGAGCUCCUUCCCCGGAGUCAUUUGUAUCUAUUUAAGACAGAGCGAUUCUUGUGCAUCUGCUGUGCGUGCCCCGUUCCUACCCAUGGACAUUAGUGAACGCACAAGAGAAAGCAGGGAUGCUGGUUGUUUUUAAUGAAAAGGUAAGAGAGAUGCUUGCGGUUUGUUGCUGCGGGCAGACCCGGCGGCUGCGGCCCUGAGAGCAGUGAGCGGGCUGGGGUAACCGCGGGGAGACAACGCUCACAACAGACCUUGGGGCCUUGAAUAGGAAAGAUCUGAAAGCAGCACAUAUCCUCCGCUAAAACGAGAAGGGGUACAAAUGAAGGAACUGAGCUUUUUCUUCUCAACUUCAGGGCGUGUUUUUUCCCCUGGCUAAUUCUGAGGGGAGGGCAAAGGACUCCUGCGCAGGGAAAAUGCCGACGA